CAUACUCAUAGCGUACGGAUCCCACGCUCCAGCAUACUUACGUAUUUACAGAAAACAGAGGGGGGAGACCCAGAGAGAGGACGGUGCUGAGAUGUUUAGAGAGGAUUUGGGAGUCGAGCUGCAGCAACAUUAACGAGGAAAGGGAGGGCAGGGCGCCCCAGAAAACAAUCGAGCUGCUCACAUGAGCUUCGAAAGAGACCGAGAAGAAGACACACAAACAUUCCUAAUUCCUUGCCUUGGCUGGAUAACACGGCUGCAAAAGGAAAUGGAGAACCGGAAGAAUCAUCCUUAGUUGUGUUCAGAGACAGAUGUUUUCAGCGAAUCGCUAGGCCCUAGUGCUCUAUUCCACUCUGUAACACGGCAAAUUAACGCUCACCAAGAAGAGAACGCUAAGGACUUAGAAUUCACGUGCUUCUCAGAGGAAAUGGUUUGAUGGAACUAAUUAUUAGAAGGAAGACAGGCAUGAGAUGAAAAGCAUCCAUUUUUGAUGUAUCCAGAACAUAGGGAACAGGCAAUAAAGCAUUUGACUGGCCAACGGGA
This is a non-coding RNA of Sus scrofa (pig), 540 nucleotides long. The record is from RefSeq and is a predicted model, not a curated record. NCBI's taxonomy places the organism in Eukaryota, Metazoa, Chordata, Mammalia, Artiodactyla, Suidae.